AACGAACGCUGGCGGCAGGCUUAACACAUGCAAGUCGAGCGCCCCGCAAGGGGAGCGGCAGACGGGUGAGUAACGCGUGGGAACGUACCUUUUGAUUCGGAACAACUCCGGGAAACUGGAGCUAAUACCGGAUAAGCCCUAACGGGGAAAGAUUUAUCGCCGAAAGAUCGGCCCGCGUCUGAUUAGCUAGUUGGUGAGGUAACGGCUCACCAAGGCGACGAUCAGUAGCUGGUCUGAGAGGAUGAUCAGCCACACUGGGACUGAGACACGGCCCAGACUCCUACGGGAGGCAGCAGUGGGGAAUAUUGGACAAGGGGCGCAAGCCUGAUCCAGCCAUGCCGCGUGAGUGAUGAAGGCCUUAGGGUUGUAAAGCUCUUUUGUCCGGGAAGAUAAUGACUGUACCGGAAGAAUAAGCCCCGGCUAACUUCGUG
This 431-nucleotide ribosomal RNA is filed under the name uncultured bacterium. RNAcentral describes it as "partial 16S ribosomal RNA". It matches the Rfam family "Bacterial small subunit ribosomal RNA", at positions 29 to 507 of the family's 1533-position model. The record is from RNAcentral.